This is a long non-coding RNA of Canis lupus familiaris (dog), 550 nucleotides long. RefSeq lists it as uncharacterized. The record is from RefSeq and is a predicted model, not a curated record. Lineage: Eukaryota; Metazoa; Chordata; Mammalia; Carnivora; Canidae. The transcript is spliced from 4 exons.
UUAUCUUAGAGAGCUUGCACGACCAGAGGGCCGUGCAAGGAGGGGCCGAGGGACAAGGAGAGAGGGAGAGAAGUGGACUCCCCAACUGAGCCCAACAGGGCUUGAUCCCACCACCCUGAGAUCAUGACCUGAGCCAAAAUCAAGGGUGGGACACUUAACCGAUUGAGCCACCCAGGGGCCCACUAAGCUAGUGUUUCGGAACUGUAACUUGGCUAACUCCAGGUGUCCUUACAAGAAGAAAAGACACAGUGAAGGAGGCCUUGUGAAGGAUUGGCGAUGAGCCAAGCAACACCUGGACCUUCCAGAAUCCAAAAGAGGAAAGAUUCUGCCCUAAAGUCUUCAUAGUGACCAUGACCCAGAGGACACCUUGAUUUUGGAUUUCUGCUUCCAGAAUUAAUUUCAUCCCUCUGAAUAAUGUCCAUUGUAGAAGUUAUUUUUGAAGCCACUUCUCUAGUAAACUUGCAAAAUAACACAAAAAAUGGUGUUUCUCCAAGCCAUAGCAGAUAUUGGUGUGAAACUCAAAAACAGCAACUCCCUAGCUUCCUUCCAG